This 505-nucleotide ribosomal RNA is filed under the name Ophiomyxa flaccida. Its description in RNAcentral is "partial 16S ribosomal RNA". It matches the Rfam family "Bacterial large subunit ribosomal RNA", at positions 1817 to 2600 of the family's 2925-position model. Lineage: Eukaryota; Metazoa; Echinodermata; Ophiuroidea; Amphilepidida; Ophiomyxidae. The record is from RNAcentral.
CGCCUCUGGUAAAAGAUCAAGAGGUCUGACCUGCCCGGUGACUUUUGUUAAACGGCUGCAGUACUCUGACUGUGCAAAGGUAGCAUAAUCAUUAGCCUGUUAAUUCCAGGCUGGAAUCAAUGGUUGGACGAUAGGAGCUCUGUCUCUUUUUAUUUUUGUUGAAUUUAGUUUUUAGGUGAAGAGGCCUAAAUAGUUUAGUGGGACGAGAAGACCCUAUAGAGCUUUAGGUAGUUUUGAUUACUUUUCUUUGUCGAACUAUUUUUAGUUGGGGCAACUGUUUUUUAUUUUUAGGCAAAGGUAUAAUCACUAAUAAAUAUAGUUCGAGGUUUAUUAUGACCCAAAAACUUUUUUGGAAAUCGGAAAAAGUUACCUUAGGGAUAACAGCGUAAUUUCUUUUGAGAGUACACAUUGACAAAGAAGUUUGCGACCUCGAUGUUGGAUUAAGUUUUCCUAGAGAUGCAGCAGUUUCUAAGGGUUGGUUUGUUCAACCAUUAAAAAUCUUACG